CCGCCGCUGCUGCUGCUGCUGCCGCCGCCGCUUCCUGCUCGGCGCGGCUCGGCCGCUCGAAGCCGCCGUAGCCGCUGGCUGAGCCGAACAGGUCCCAAGCGCCCUGCGGCGAGCCGGGCUCGGGAGUUAAUACAUUUGGGAACUUCCUGGAAAAGAGUUAAGAGGCACCAUGACAAGCUCCCAAGGACCUCCCUUUGUCCAAGAGGAAAAGCACUGAGUCAACACCGUUCCUGCUAUCAGCUGUACUCGUGAUUUUAUUAAAGAACAAGAUGAAGUUUGUUCUUUGACAGGAACCAUUUCCCACAAAAACUGCUGAUUGAUGUUCCAUUACAUCCCCACUCUCCAUCUCCUUAUUAACUGGUGCAAACCACUUCCUUAUAGCCAGAAAUGGUCUCCUGGGCUGUUUUUAUAAACUCUCACAUUCCCACCUUGUGUGAGAACAGUCGUCUGAAGAACCAGCUCUUAAAAUGAUGACACACCAUCCUCUAGACCUGCUGUUUUUAAAAUGUUAGUGGUGCUUUUGAUGUUCUUUUUUAAAUUGCUUGGAUAGGAAGCGUUUCAUCAUCAUUAUAUAACAUGGAAAUGGCACUCUGGAAAUGACAUUUAACUUUGUCCCAAAUAUAGGCAGGAAAUA
Pipra filicauda (Wire-tailed manakin) is the source of this 634-nucleotide long non-coding RNA. RefSeq lists it as uncharacterized. Lineage: Eukaryota; Metazoa; Chordata; Aves; Passeriformes; Pipridae. The transcript has 4 exons. The record is from RefSeq and is a predicted model, not a curated record.